AGUGAACGCUGGCGGUAGGCCUAACACAUGCAAGUCGAACGGCAGCACAGUAAGAGCUUGCUCUUACGGGUGGCGAGUGGCGGACGGGUGCGGAAUACAUCGGAAUCUACUUUUUCGUGGGGGCUAACGUAGGGAAACUUACGCUAUUACCGCAUACGACCUACGGGUGAAAGCAGGGGAUCUUCGGACCUUGCGCGAUUGUAUGAGCCGAUGUCGGAUUAGCUAGUUGGCGGGGUAAAGGCCCACCAAGGCGACGAUCCGUAGCUGGUCUGAGAGGAUGAUCAGCCACACUGGAACUGAGACACGGUCCAGACUCCUACGGGAGGCAGCAGUGGGGAAUAUUGGACAAUGGGCGAAAGCCUGAUCCAGCCAUGCCGCGUGGGUGAAGAAGGCCUUCGGAUUGUAAAGCACUUUUGGUGGGAAAGAAGAGCAGCAAGUUAAUACCCCGCUGUUCUGACGGUACCCAAAGAAUAAGCACCGGCUAACUUCGUG
This 492-nucleotide ribosomal RNA is filed under the name uncultured bacterium. Its description in RNAcentral is "partial 16S ribosomal RNA". It matches the Rfam family "Bacterial small subunit ribosomal RNA", at positions 29 to 507 of the family's 1533-position model. The record is from RNAcentral.